This 254-nucleotide ribosomal RNA is filed under the name uncultured bacterium. RNAcentral's name for it is "partial 16S ribosomal RNA". It matches the Rfam family "Bacterial small subunit ribosomal RNA", at positions 524 to 776 of the family's 1533-position model. The record is from RNAcentral.
UACGUAGGGUGCGAGCGUUGUCCGGAAUUAUUGGGCGUAAAGGGCUCGUAGGCGGUCUGUCGCGUCGGGAGUGAAAACUCAGGGCUUAACCCUGAGCCUGCUUCCGAUACGGGCAGACUAGAGGUAUGCAGGGGGAGAACGGAAUUCCUGGUGUAGCGGUGAAAUGCGCAGAUAUCAGGAGGAACACCGGUGGCGAAGGCGGUUCUCUGGGCCGUAACUGGCGCUGAGGAGCGAAAGCAUGGGGAGCGAACAGG